This 200-nucleotide ribosomal RNA is filed under the name uncultured bacterium. RNAcentral describes it as "partial 16S ribosomal RNA". It matches the Rfam family "Bacterial small subunit ribosomal RNA", at positions 328 to 539 of the family's 1533-position model. The record is from RNAcentral.
ACGCUCGACACCUACGGGGGGCAGCAGUGGGGAAUAUUGCACAAUGGGGGAAACCCGUCGAUGCAGCGACGCCGCGUGAGCGAAGAAGUAUUUCGGUAUGUAAAGCUCUAUCAGCAGGGAAGAAACUGACGGUACCUGACUAAGAAGCACCGGCUAAAUACGUGCCAACAGCCGCGGUAAUCUGAGCGGGCUGGCAAGGC